Molecule: ribosomal RNA, 890 nt
Filed under: Gilliamella sp.
Lineage: Bacteria; Pseudomonadati; Pseudomonadota; Gammaproteobacteria; Orbales; Orbaceae
Description: bacterial SSU rRNA
Rfam family: Bacterial small subunit ribosomal RNA
Source: RNAcentral
UUAACACAUGCAAGUCGAACGGUAACAUGAGUGCUUGCACUUGAUGACGAGUGGCGGACGGGAGAGUAAGGUAUGGGGAUCUGCCAAAUGGAGGGGGACAACAGUUGGAAACGACUGCUAAUACCGCAUAAAGUUGAGAGACCAAAGUACGGUUCCGCAAGGACGUGCGCCAUUUGAUGAACCCAUAUGGGAUUAGCUAGUUGGUGUGGUAAAGGCUCACCAAGGCGACGAUCUCUAGCUGGUCUGAGAGGAUGACCAGCCACACUGGAACUGAGACACGGUCCAGACUCCUACGGGAGGCAGCAGUGGGGAAUAUUGCACAAUGGGGGGAACCCUGAUGCAGCCAUGCCGCGUGUAUGAAGAAGGCCUUCGGGUUGUAAAGUACUUUCGGUAGUGAGGAAGUUGUGUGUAUGAAAAGUGCAUGCAAUUGACGUUAGCUACAGAAGAAGCACCGGCUAACUCCGUGCCAGCAGCCGCGGUAAUACGGAGGGUGCGAGCGUUAAUCGGAAUGACUGGGCGUAAAGGGCAUGUAGGCGGAUAAUUAAGUUAGGUGUGAAAGCCCCGGGCUCAACCUGGGAAUUGCACUUAAAACUGGUUAUCUGGAGUAUUGUAGAGGAAGGUAGAAUUCCACGUGUAGCGGUGAAAUGCGUAGAGAUGUGGAGGAAUACCGGUGGCGAAGGCGGCCUUCUGGACAGAUACUGACGCUGAGAUGCGAAAGCGUGGGGAGCAAACAGGAUUAGAUACCCUGGUAGUCCACGCUGUAAACGAUGUCGAUUUGGAGUUUGUUGCCCUGAGUGAUGGGCUCCGAAGCUAACGCGAUAAAUCGACCGCCUGGGGAGUACGGCCGCAAGGUUAAAACUCAAAUGAAUUGACGGGGGCCCGCACAAGCG